RNAcentral lists this ribosomal RNA (440 nucleotides) under uncultured bacterium. Its description in RNAcentral is "partial 16S ribosomal RNA". It matches the Rfam family "Bacterial small subunit ribosomal RNA", at positions 338 to 795 of the family's 1533-position model. The record is from RNAcentral.
CCUACGGGAGGCAGCAGUGGGGGAUAUUGCACAAUGGGGGAAACCCUGAUGCAGCAACGCCGCGUGAGUGAAGACGUAUUUCGGUAUGUAAAGCUCUAUUAGCAGGGAAGUGAAGGACGGCACCUGACCAAGAAGCCCCGGCCAACUACGUGCCAGCAGCCGCGGUAAUACGGAGGGGGCGAGCGUUAUCCGGAUUUACUGGGUGUAAAGGGAGCGUAGACGGGUGGUCAAGUCUGUAGUGAAGGCGCGGGGCUUAACCCCGGAAUGGCUUUGGAAACUGGGCAGCUAGAGUGCAUGAGAGGUAAGCGGAAUUCGUGGUGUAGCGGUGAAAUGCGUAGAUAUUAGGAAGAACACCGAUGGCGAAGGCGGCUUACUGGACAGUAACUGACGUUGAGGCUCGAAAGCGUGGGUAGCAAACAGGAUUAGAUACCCCUGUAGUC